RNAcentral lists this transfer RNA (76 nucleotides) under Methylobacterium crusticola. RNAcentral's name for it is "tRNA-Leu". Lineage: Bacteria; Pseudomonadati; Pseudomonadota; Alphaproteobacteria; Hyphomicrobiales; Methylobacteriaceae. The record is from RNAcentral.
CCGGUGCUGGAGGAGGCGUUCGCCCGCCUGAGGAGCGAGCCGGACGUGUUCCUGUUCGACGGCAUGGGCACCGCCC